UUUUAAAGGUGCCACAGGGCAGCACUAGUAAAAUGAUGGAACAGCUCAAAUUUGAAAUCUGGCUCCGCUCUGGGGUCCGAGUUGUACUUUGCAGAGGGCGCUUUGGCGUCGGCAGCAGUCUAAGUUCCUUGGAACAGGACGUCACAGAGGGUGAGAAUCCCGUACGUGGCUGCGUGCCUUCGCCGUGUAAAGCCCCUUCGACGAGUCGUGUUGUUUGGGAAUGCAGCACUAAAUGGGAGGUAAAUUUCUUCUAAAGCUAAAUACUGGCCAGAGACCGAUAGCGCACAAGUAGAGUGAUCGAAAGAUGAAAAGCACUUUGGAAAGAGAGUCAAAUAGCACGUGAAAUUGUUGAAAGGGAAGCGCUUGCAGCCAGACUUGCCUGCGGUUGCUCAUCCGGGCUCUUGCCCGGUGCACUCUUCCGCAGGCAGGCCAGCAUCAGUUUGGGCGACUGGAGAAAGGCCUCUGUCAUGUAUCUUCCUUCGGGAUGACCUUAUAGGGGAGGCGUAAUGCAGCCAGUCCGAACUGAGGUCCGCGCAUCUGCUAGGAUGCUGGCGUAAUGGCUGUAAGCGGCCCGUCUUGAAACACGGACCAAGGAGUCUAACAUCUAUGCGAGUGUUUGGGUGUCAAGCCCGAGCGCGCAAUGAAAGUGAACGGAGGUGGGAACCCUCGGGUGCACCAUCGACCGAUCCUGAUGUCUUCGGAUGGAUUUGAGUAAGAGCAUAGCUGUUGGGACCCGAAAGAUGGUGAACUAUGCUUGAAUAGGGUGAAGCCAGAGGAAACUCUGGUGGAGGCUCGCAGCGGUUCUGACGUGCAAAUCGAUCGUCAAAUUUGGGCAUAGGGGCGAAAGACUAAUCCAACUAUCUCGUAGCUGGUUCUGCGAAUUUCCUCCGCCCGAAAAAGAGGAAAAAGGGGGUUUCCCCAAUUUACAAAGACCUCUUGCCCCUUUUCCCAAAAUUUGACAAAU
RNAcentral lists this ribosomal RNA (964 nucleotides) under Brevicollum hyalosporum. RNAcentral describes it as "partial large subunit ribosomal RNA". It matches the Rfam family "Eukaryotic large subunit ribosomal RNA", at positions 1 to 1379 of the family's 3401-position model. Lineage: Eukaryota; Fungi; Ascomycota; Dothideomycetes; Pleosporales; Neohendersoniaceae. The record is from RNAcentral.